GGGGCUGUAGCUCAGUGGCAAAGCACUUGCCUUGCAUGUGUGAGGCCCUGGGUUUGAUCCUCAGCACCACCU
Non-coding RNA from Ictidomys tridecemlineatus (thirteen-lined ground squirrel), 72 nucleotides. The record is from Rfam. Lineage: Eukaryota; Metazoa; Chordata; Mammalia; Rodentia; Sciuridae.